RNAcentral lists this long non-coding RNA (1018 nucleotides) under Cyanistes caeruleus (blue tit). RNAcentral describes it as "lncRNA (ENSCCEG00000008238.1)". The record is from RNAcentral. Lineage: Eukaryota; Metazoa; Chordata; Aves; Passeriformes; Paridae.
UUUUUCCUGGAUUUCCCCUGGAUUUUUCCCAAAUUUUCCCAGAUUUUCCCAAAUUUUCCCAGAUUUUUCCCAGGUUUUUCCAGAUUUCCCUGGAUUUUCCUGCAUUUCCCUGGAUAUUCCUAAAUUUUCCUGGAUUUUCCCAGAUUUUCCCAAAUUUUCCCAGAUUUUUCCCAGGUUUUUCCAGAUUUCCCUGGAUUUUCCUGCAUUUCCCUGGAUAUUCCUAAAUUUUCCUGGAUUUUUUCCCGUUUUUUUCCAGGAUUUUCCCCGUAUUUUCCAAGAUUUUCAUGGAUUUUCCCAGAUUUUCAUGGAUUUUCCCCAAAAUUCCCAGAUUUUCCUGGAUGUUUCCUGCAUUUCCCAGAUUUUUCCAGAUUUCCUUGGAUAUUCCCAAAUUUUCCUCGAUUUUUCCCAAAUUUUCCUGGAUUUUUCCCAGAUUUUCCAAAAUUUUCCUGGAUUUUUCCUGGAUUUUCCCCCAAAUUCCCAGAUUUUCCUGGAUGUUUCCCAAAUUUUUCCCGGAUUUUCCUGGAUUUUUCCCAGAUUUUCCUGGAUUUUUCCCAGAUUUUCCCAGCUCUCAGGCCCAUUCCCAAAUCGCGGGAAUCUCCGAACAUCCAAAAAUCCGGGAAGUGACUCCGGGACUUUGGGAAGGGGAGGUUGGAUCCCAAAUUCCCUGGGAAUGGGAAAAGGAAUUCCCAGGAAUUCCCAGGAAAUUCCCAAAGGAACCGGGAUGAGGAAAAUUUUCCCAACAUUCCAAGAAAAAAAAAAUGGGAUGAGGAGGAAGCUGAGGUUCGGGAUUGUUGUCGGGAUUAUUCCCAAGAUUAUUCCAAACAUUCUUCACAGGAUUUUUCCAGGAUUGUUCCCAAAAUUCCUGGGAUUAUUCUCAGAAUUCCCAGGAUUUUUCCAGGGAUUUUCCCAGGAUUAUUCAAAAAAUUCCCAGGAUUAUUUCCAGAAUUCCCAGGAUUUUUUCCCAGAAUUUUUCCCAAAAUUCCCAGGAUUAUUCCCUGGAUUUUCCCCAGGAAUAAAA